Molecule: long non-coding RNA, 624 nt
Filed under: Cricetulus griseus (Chinese hamster)
Lineage: Eukaryota; Metazoa; Chordata; Mammalia; Rodentia; Cricetidae
Description: lncRNA (ENSCGRG00015034482.1)
Source: RNAcentral
GGAGCAGCAACCUGAGCUGUCACAUCUUCAGCCACAAGCUUAAAGCAGAGACAAUGAACAGGACGAGGGGUCAGGCUGUGAACUUGCCAAGCCUCCUUGAAGGCUUCACCAACUGGGAACCAAGUGCUCAAGCAUCUGAGCCAUGGGGAGCACUUCUCAUUUAAACCUCCACACUCCCCAUUACCCUGCCCUAGCUGAGUGUCCCAUGAAGUCAUUCUCUCUCUCACGAUGAGUGGGUCCAGAUACAGUUUUGAAUGCCAGACUGCAGCUGUAGGAACUGCACACACCAUCGAUUUAUCCAGCCCAUGGCAUAGCCAUCCGGUCAGCCACCCAUGCACUUAGCACACAUACGUUGAGUGUGUCUGUGUUAGCUGCCAGACUGUGAGAGUGAACAGGUCACAACCCAGGAAGAGAGAAACCAUUACUGAAGCCCAUACUGCUCAGACCCUGGUACAUACAACUCCUCCCUUGAGGAAGGUGAUACUGAAAACUCCAGAUGAAGCCAUAGAUUUCAGCUGCGGGACCUUACUGGACCUUCCCACACCAGGAGUCACUGUGGUCACACGCAGCCACAUGCAUAAGAGUGUUAGUCCUGGCCCUGCCAUUGCCCUCAGGACAUUCCCC